UAGGGAAUCUUCCACAAUGGACGAAGUCUGAUGGAGCAACGCCGCGUGAGUGAUGAAGGGUUUCGGCUCGUAAAACUCUGUUGUUGGAGAAGAACGGGUGUCAGAGUAACUGUUGACAUCGUGACGGUAUCCAACCAGAAAGCCACGGCUAACUACGUGCCAGCAGCCGCGGUAAUACGUAGGUGGCAAGCGUUGUCCGGAUUUAUUGGGCGUAAAGCGAGCGCAGGCGGUUUUUUAGGUCUGAUGUGAAAGCCUUCGGCUUAACCGGAGAAGUGCAUCGGAAACCGGGAGACUUGAGUGCAGAAGAGGACAGUGGAACUCCAUGUGUAGCGGUGAAAUGCGUAGAUAUAUGGAAGAACACCAGUGGCGAAGGCGGCUGUCUGGUCUGCAACUGACGCUGAGGCUCGAAAGCAUGGGUAGCGAACAGGAUUAGAUACCCUGGUAGUCCAUGCCGUAAACGAUGAGUGCUAAGUGUUGGAGGGUUUUCCGCCCUUCAGUGCUGCAGCUAACGCAUUAAGCACUCCGCCUGGGGGAGUACGACCGCAAGGUUGAAAC
RNAcentral lists this ribosomal RNA (555 nucleotides) under uncultured bacterium. RNAcentral describes it as "partial 16S ribosomal RNA". It matches the Rfam family "Bacterial small subunit ribosomal RNA", at positions 355 to 900 of the family's 1533-position model. The record is from RNAcentral.